RNAcentral lists this ribosomal RNA (225 nucleotides) under uncultured Lactobacillus sp. RNAcentral's name for it is "partial 16S ribosomal RNA". It matches the Rfam family "Bacterial small subunit ribosomal RNA", at positions 137 to 355 of the family's 1533-position model. The record is from RNAcentral. Lineage: Bacteria; Bacillati; Bacillota; Bacilli; Lactobacillales; Lactobacillaceae.
AUCGGGAUAACACCUGGAAACAGAUGCUAAUACCGGAUAACAACAGAUGAUGCCUAUCAACUGUUUAAAGANUGGUUCUGCUAUCACUCUUGGAUGGACCUGCGGUGCAUUAGCUAGUUGGUAGGGUAACGGCCUACCAAGGCGAUGAUGCAUAGCCGAGUUGAGAGACUGAUCGGCCACAUUGGGACUGAGACACGGCCCAAACUCCUACGGGAGGCAGCAGCC